UACUCGAGGUGUCCAGACUCACUCGUCACUUAGCGUAGAAUCAGCAGCAACUCAUUAUGCGCCUGCACGCGACCGUUGUUCUUACCAUAGGGGCCAUCUUCGUUUCCGAGUGGCAUUUUUCUGAGGGAUUGGUUCCCGUAGAAAAUGGUAAAUGCCAGUACAACGGGACUGAGAUAUCAUCAUCUGAGAUGCUGAAACUGGAGGAUCCCUGCGAACUAUGGCUUUGUAGACUGAAAACAGAAGAAACCGGAGAGGUCAUCAGAGCAGGCUGUAUGCUCCUCCUCCUGACGCCAGGCUGCAAUGUGACCAAAGGCACAGGCGCCUGGCCGCAGUGCUGUGAGAGGCUUGUGUGCCACUGAUACCGUCUCCCGUGGCAACAGUCGCUUGACAAGGAAUGAGAGGAGGGCCUGGUAUAUCACCUGUGGCUCAAGCCCUUUGCUUUCGGUUGGAAGAUUCCUAGCUAACCACCAAUUUCUUCCCAUGUAGUCAUGCGUUUGGCAUAGACCCGAUUUUCUUCACAGCUAGAGCUUAAGUUUUGUUGAGACAAAAGAACAGUUGCGCUUAACAAAGCUGCGAAGGUGCCAAAAUACGCUAUUUUAAGGAAAAGGGAAAAAAACUAUUUGUACAAAAAAGAAGAGAGGUUGGCCUGAGCUGAAGUGCUACAUGCAGCCUGCUAGGCUCUACGCUGGGGAAGGGGAAAAUAGAAAGAAAGCAAGAACGGUGGUGCGAUGAAUUCCGGUGAACACGGCAGCAUAUUUGAAUCAUAACCUUGAGUGCAUGAAGUCCUGAGAUUUGCAGAUGCUGUACCAUGACCCGUACUUUUAGUGAUAAGUCUACUGCGUUACUGCCCGUUUGUAUUUGCCAGUACUCUGUUGUAAGUACAUACGUCAGUAAAAGCAAAUUUAAACGUGCCAAAUAGAAAACAGGGUGGAAAAACAAAGCAGUCAGUAGCUACAAAGCAGUGUUUGUAGUUGUGCAGAAAACAAGUGCACAUACUAAAGUUCAUGCCAAGAAUGCCAAUAAAAUAUUUGUGUCCGACA
Dermacentor albipictus is the source of this 1040-nucleotide long non-coding RNA. RefSeq lists it as uncharacterized. The record is from RefSeq and is a predicted model, not a curated record. Lineage: Eukaryota; Metazoa; Arthropoda; Arachnida; Ixodida; Ixodidae.